CAUCAGGAACAUCUUGUGAGCACAUUUGGCUACUCCUGCAGGCCAGGUGAAGAAGAGAAUUAACAUCCCAUUUUCAGCUACCGGUGCCAUGACGCUACUCCUGACAUUGCUGCUGGUGCUAUAAAAGCAGGCUGUGGCGCCUGCUGUGAAAAGGACUUUUCUGAGGAAACAAACCAGUGAAGAAGUGACAGUGACCAGACCUGGACUAACAAAGCUCUAAUAAGGU
This 226-nucleotide long non-coding RNA is filed under the name Anser brachyrhynchus (Pink-footed goose). RNAcentral's name for it is "lncRNA (ENSABRG00000009785.1)". Lineage: Eukaryota; Metazoa; Chordata; Aves; Anseriformes; Anatidae. The record is from RNAcentral.